This 1372-nucleotide ribosomal RNA is filed under the name uncultured bacterium. RNAcentral describes it as "bacterial SSU rRNA". It matches the Rfam family "Bacterial small subunit ribosomal RNA", at positions 28 to 1381 of the family's 1533-position model. The record is from RNAcentral.
GAUGAACGCUGGCGGCGUGCCUAAUACAUGCAAGUCGAGCGAACGGACGAGAAGCUUGCUUCUCUGAUGUUAGCGGCGGACGGGUGAGUAACACGUGGAUAACCUACCUAUAAGACUGGGAUAACUUCGGGAAACCGGAGCUAAUACCGGAUAAUAUUUUGAACCGCAUGGUUCAAAAGUGAAAGACGGUCUUGCUGUCACUUAUAGAUGGAUCCGCGCUGCAUUAGCUAGUUGGUAAGGUAACGGCUUACCAAGGCAACGAUGCAUAGCCGACCUGAGAGGGUGAUCGGCCACACUGGAACUGAGACACGGUCCAGACUCCUACGGGAGGCAGCAGUAGGGAAUCUUCCGCAAUGGGCGAAAGCCUGACGGAGCAACGCCGCGUGAGUGAUGAAGGUCUUCGGAUCGUAAAACUCUGUUAUUAGGGAAGAACAUAUGUGUAAGUAACUGUGCACAUCUUGACGGUACCUAAUCAGAAAGCCACGGCUAACUACGUGCCAGCAGCCGCGGUAAUACGUAGGUGGCAAGCGUUAUCCGGAAUUAUUGGGCGUAAAGCGCGCGUAGGCGGUUUUUUAAGUCUGAUGUGAAAGCCCACGGCUCAACCGUGGAGGGUCAUUGGAAACUGGAAAACUUGAGUGCAGAAGAGGAAAGUGGAAUUCCAUGUGUAGCGGUGAAAUGCGCAGAGAUAUGGAGGAACACCAGUGGCGAAGGCGACUUUCUGGUCUGUAACUGACGCUGAUGUGCGAAAGCGUGGGGAUCAAACAGGAUUAGAUACCCUGGUAGUCCACGCCGUAAACGAUGAGUGCUAAGUGUUAGGGGGUUUCCGCCCCUUAGUGCUGCAGCUAACGCAUUAAGCACUCCGCCUGGGGAGUACGACCGCAAGGUUGAAACUCAAAGGAAUUGACGGGGACCCGCACAAGCGGUGGAGCAUGUGGUUUAAUUCGAAGCAACGCGAAGAACCUUACCAAAUCUUGACAUCCUUUGACAACUCUAGAGAUAGAGCUUUCCCCUUCGGGGGACAAAGUGACAGGUGGUGCAUGGUUGUCGUCAGCUCGUGUCGUGAGAUGUUGGGUUAAGUCCCGCAACGAGCGCAACCCUUAAGCUUAGUUGCCAUCAUUAAGUUGGGCACUCUAAGUUGACUGCCGGUGACAAACCGGAGGAAGGUGGGGAUGACGUCAAAUCAUCAUGCCCCUUAUGAUUUGGGCUACACACGUGCUACAAUGGACAAUACAAAGGGCAGCGAAACCGCGAGGUCAAGCAAAUCCCAUAAAGUUGUUCUCAGUUCGGAUUGUAGUCUGCAACUCGACUACAUGAAGCUGGAAUCGCCAGUAAUCGUAGAUCAGCAUGCUACGGUGAAUACGUUCCCGGGUCU